CCGGGACAGGUAACCCGGGACAGGUAAUGACACACCUGGGACAGGUAUGGACACACCUGGGACAGGUAAUGACACACCUGGGACAGGUAAUGACACAGCUGGGACAGGUAAUGACACACCUGUACAGGUAACGACACACCUGUACAGGUAAGGACACACCUGCACAGGUGACACAGCUGGGACAGGUAAUGACACACCUGGGACAGGUAACAACACAUCUGGGACAGGUAAUGACACACCUGGGACAGGUAACGACACACCUGGACAGGUGACACAGGUGGGGACACCCAGGGGAGAAGGGCCCAGGUGAUUCCCAAGAGUGCCCAGGUGCCCCCAGGUAUCCCCAGGCCCCCCCCAGGUGUCCCCAGGUGCCCCCUGACCUCCCUGCCGGGGCCGCGCCACGAGGACGCGCCCGAAGGAGCCGCGGCCGAGCUCCCCCAGCACCUCCCAGUCCCGGCACAGCUCCCGGCGCGACAGCGCCUGCGCGGCGCGUACCAUCAGCACCUGCGGGGGGNNNNNNNNNNGGGGGGGAGACAGGGCAUCAGCGCCUGCGCGGCGCGCACCAUCAGCACCUGCAGGGGGGAACGGGGAACCGCGCCUGCGUGGCGCGCACCAUCAGCACCUGCGGGGGGGGGAAAGGGGCAUCAGCGCCUGCGCGGCGCGCACCAUCAGCACCUGCGGGGGGGACAGGGCAUCAGCGCCUGCGCGGCGCGUACCAUCAGCACCUGCGGGGGGGGAAAGGGGCAUCGGGCCCUGGCGCGGGCGCGGGGGGGGGGCGACAUGGACCGGUAUAAACCAGUAUGGACCAGUAUAAACCAGUAUGGACCAGUAUAACCAGUAUGGACCAGUAUGGACCGGUAUGGACCAGUAAAACCAGUAUGGACCAGUACGGACCAGUAUGGACCAGUAUGGAAGGUAUAACCAGUAUGGACCAGUAUGGACCGGUAUAAACUAGUAUAACCAGUAUAGACCAGUAUAGACCAGUAUGGACCAGUGGACCAGUAUGGACCAGUAUGGACCGGUAUAACCAGUAUGGACCAGUAUGAACCAGUAUAACCAGUAUGGACCAGUAUAGACCAGUAUGGACCAGUAUAACCAGUAUGGACUGGUAUAAACAAGUACGGACCGGUAUGGACCGGUAUGGACCAGUAUAAACCAAUAUGGACUGGUAUGGACCAGUACAGACCAGUACAAACCAGUACAAACCUGCAGGAGCCGCUCCUGAGCCUGCGCCACCGACUCCUCAUCCUCAUCCUCGUCACCUUCAUCGUCAGCGGCCUCCCAGGGGAUUUUCAUGAUCUGCACCAGUACAAACCAGUACAAACCAGUACGGACCAGUAUGAACCAGUAUAAUCCAGUAUGGACCAGUAUAAACCAGUACAAACCAGUACAAACCAGUACAGACCUGCAGGAUGCGCUCCUGAACCCGCGCCAAUGAGUUCUCAUCAUCAUCGUCACCAUCAUCAUCACGGGCCUCGGAGGGAGCGUCCGCGGCCUGCACCAGUAUAAACCAGUAUGAACCAGUAUAAACCAGUAUGGACCAGUAUAAACCAGCACGGACCUGCAGGGGGCGCUCCUGAGCCACCAGCUGCUCUUCAUCAUCGUCACCUUCCUCUGAGGGGGCGUCCAUGAUCUGCACCAGUAUAAACCAGUACGGACCAGUAUGGACCAGUACAGACCAGUAUGGACCAGUACGGACCAGUAUGGACCGGUAUGGACCAGUACAAACCAGUAUGGACCAGUACGGACCAGUACGGACCAGUAUAAACCAGUAUGGACCAGUAUGAACCAGUAUAAACCAGUACGGACCAGUACAGACCGGUACAGACCAAUA
Long non-coding RNA from Chloebia gouldiae (Gouldian finch), 1834 nucleotides. The record is from Ensembl. Lineage: Eukaryota; Metazoa; Chordata; Aves; Passeriformes; Passeridae.